Molecule: long non-coding RNA, 2336 nt
Organism: Ctenopharyngodon idella (grass carp)
Lineage: Eukaryota; Metazoa; Chordata; Actinopteri; Cypriniformes; Xenocyprididae
Exons: 2
Source: RefSeq, a predicted model, not a curated record
UAAAAAUAAUACAGUCUUGUUUUCCACACCGAUUGAUCAAAACUGAACCAGUUUCACCACAUAGUAAUACAAAGCAAUUUAUCUACAUUUAUAAACUUUGUUGGUGACACAAAUGAAUCAUUGAAUGGCUUCACUGAAAUGGACAGUUUGAACUGAUUCAUAAAAAUGAAUUGAAUCUAUCAACUCUAAUGCUAAUACUUGCAAGUCAUAAUACAAGGAGGGACUGCGACUUAACGAUAAAAUUGAAAGUGCCCUGAAAUAAUUGAUAAUCAUACUGUUGAUUCAUUUUAUACAGUGUGAAUAUUUCAUAUACGUUUCUCCCAGAGCUAAUUUGCAACUUCAUCAUAUAUUUUGUUGAGUUCUGACACAAAACGAAGAACACAAGAGCAAGCGAGAGACGAUUUGUUGAUAAAAGGCAAGCGCUGAAGGGCCCUCAGUAAUGGCCUUGAACGUUUGCCGGUUUGUGAACAUCUUUUGUCGUCACUCUGCUAUGAGCAGCUUGAUGUGACCUUACUGAGAGAUGCCAAUUGGUGUAAGUGCCUCUCCUUCUUCCCAGAACAGCAACACAUUUUCCACAGCAAUGUUAAACACAUUACACAAUCGUUUCCUCGUCAUACAGAGUCAUUUCAACUUGCUGCCGUUUGCCAGUUCAUUUUUAUGUACUGACAAUAUCAAUUCAAGAGGGAAAAUGUUUUCAUAUUAUGUUAAUGAUUCUGAAAUUCAUCUUGUGUAUAUUUAUGCAAACUAUAAAGUGUACAGUAAGUCUCAAACCAAUACAUAGAUGUGUCAUAAAAUGUAUGUAUAGUAUAGGCUUUUCACAACUCAAAAUUCUUAGGGGUGUUAUAUAUAUUAAUAGCUGUUUUUGUCUUAUAAUAAUUGACUCAAAUGUGGUUCAUAAACCUCAGAGGUGUAACCACAGCGUGUCCCUGUACGCCUCACCUGAAACAGAAUGGAACAUUCCAACUGGAAAACAAUUCAUGCUCACGCAAACAUACACACAACAGUUUCAUGUAAUUAUGAUAAUUACAAGUGUAGUUUUUUCUUUUUUUUAGAGGAACACAAAGAUAUUUAGAUUUUUUUUUUUUUUACGUUUUGUCCAUACAGGAAAAAUCAAAGUCAUUGGCUUUGUGUGUGAAACAUUCUUCAUAAUAUCUUCUUUUGUGUUCCGUAAAAAGUUUGGAUCACAAUGAAGGGAGAGAAAAUGAUGAUCUUUCAUUUGUCAGGGGAACUGUCCCUUUAAAGGUUUUACGGUGAAAAACAUGCUUGCUUAUUAAAGUACUACUAAUAAAAGUAGUUCAAAAGCUUGAGGUCGGAUGUUUUUAAUGAUUUGAAAGAAAGCAAGGAUGUAUUUAUUUGAUCCAAAACACAGUAAAAAUAGUAAUACUGUGAAAUAUAAUUAUGUUAACUGUUUUCUAUUUUAAAGGGGUCAUAUAAUGCCACUUUUACAAGAUGUAAAAUAAGUCUCUGAUGUCCCCAGAGUGUGUAUGUAAAGUUUUAUCUCAAAAUCAUUUUUUAUAGCAUGUUAAAUUUGUCACUUUUUAAGGGGAAGCAAAAACACUGCAUUUUUGUGUGUGUCCCUUUAAAUGCAAAUGAGCUGCUGCUCUCAAAAGGGGGCGGAGUUUCAAGAGCUUGUGUUACCACUUAGCAGCUCUGAUUAACUUUAUCUCACUGAAAAUGUCAGUAACUGUUCAGUCUUUUACGUUCAAAACGGAGUCGGACACUGAUGGAGAGACUCAAGAAGAAGUGACAACAUGCAGAAUGAAACAGGACGUUUCUGAACGGCUUAAUUUCACAGACGUGCACGAGGGGGAGUCGUCUAAUUUAACUCAUUAAUGCCGUGUCAGCAGCCUUGCCGCAAAAUCCUUCCCCGCACUGUCUCCAGGUGCCAAAGAAAACGACAACAACACGAGGCCACGUGAGCCAGACUGACGCCCGGACUCCAGCUCCCCGAACGCUCUUCAGGACUCACACGCAGGACCUACUUCCUGGAGAUAACGGAGCAAAACGUCUAAAAUAGAAAGAUAUGCCUCACUCUCGCUCUCUGUCUAUCGCUCCAUCUCUUUCUCACUCUCUCUCCCCAUCCACUUUUAAUCAUUGGCUAUUCAAAGAUGAAAAGCCUUUCUGAAAGGGAAAAUUUUAUCCAAGUACUCCACAUAUGGCUUUUCUCUCUCCAAGAGUACGAACAUGUCCUCAGAAACAAAAAUGCCUUGUUUGACGUUCUAAAAAGAAAGAUAGAGGUUGAUUUAAGGUCAAGCUGACAACAAAUGGACAAAUCCUUUGGGACUAAAGAGUGGUUAGAUCAAACUGGAAGUAUAAAAUGGUUCUCUCUCACAAAA